ACAUGUUUUCCUCAUAAACCACAAAAGUAAACAAGUUUGUUACUUCUUCUUAGUCCCCUACAUCCCUCUUAUACCACUUCUUCACCCCAUUUCCACAAUGGAAACCACCGUCAGCUGGUACAACUCCGGUAGCCUGAGCCGCUGUUGGAGCCGAAGACCCACCGACUACGACGAGCUCGUAACAAUGACCGUUUCGACUUCCAAAGCACGUAUUAUUUGGAGAAUUUUGUUAAGAAAAAUUAAGAGAGCAAAGAAAAAUAUUUACAGAUUUUCAGAUUCGACGCGAUUUCGCUAUGAGGCUGGUGAGUAUGCACAAAACUUUGAUCACGGGUUAAUGUCGCACGAUUCGGAUGAUUUAUCGAGGUCGUUUUCGGCCCGUUUUGCUGCUCCUAAUUCUGCAAUGUUUCACCGCAAGAGAUGAUUGAUUUAAAGAUUGGAAGGCAAGUGAGUGAACAUGUGUGAAGGCAUGUGACAUGUUUCGUGCGCUCAUGGUGUGUACUAGAUCAGUUUUCUUGUAAAAAUAUUAUAAUAAAAUAGGUAGAAUAAAAAAUUUGAAAUAAUAAAUAAUAUUCCUUUAA
Molecule: long non-coding RNA, 578 nt
Organism: Helianthus annuus (common sunflower)
Lineage: Eukaryota; Viridiplantae; Streptophyta; Magnoliopsida; Asterales; Asteraceae
Exons: 2
Source: RefSeq, a predicted model, not a curated record